AAUAGAUACCCGGGUAGUCCAUGCCGUAAACGUUGGGCACUAGGUGUGGGGGACAUUCCACGUUUUUCCGCGCCGUAGCUAACGCAUUAAGUGCCCCGCCUGGGGAGUACGGCCGCAAGGCUAAAACUCAAAGGAAUUGACGGGGGCCCGCACAAGCGGCGGAGCAUGCGGAUUAAUUCGAUGCAACGCGAAGAACCUUACCAAGGCUUGACAUGAACCAGACCGGGCUGGAAACAGUCCUUCCCCUUGUGGGUUGGUUUACAGGUGGUGCAUGGUUGUCGUCAGCUCGUGUCGUGAGAUGUUGGGUUAAGUCCCGCAACGAGCGCAACCCUCGUUCUAUGUUGCCAGCACGUGAUGGUGGGGACUCAUAGGAGACUGCCGGGGUCAACUCGGAGGAAGGUGGGGACGACGUCAAAUCAGUCAUGCCCCUUAUGUCUUGGGCUCCACGCAUGCUACAAUGGCCGGUACAAAGGGUUGCGAUACUGUGAGGUGAGCUAAAGUCCCAAAAAGCCGGUCUCGAGUUCGGAUUGGGGUCUGCAACUCGACCCCAUGGAACG
This 557-nucleotide ribosomal RNA is filed under the name uncultured bacterium. RNAcentral's name for it is "bacterial SSU rRNA". It matches the Rfam family "Bacterial small subunit ribosomal RNA", at positions 777 to 1327 of the family's 1533-position model. The record is from RNAcentral.